AUGCUGAUGCGCACCCCCCACGACUUGCCGCUGGUUCACCUCCCUUGCGCAGACGACGAGCUUCGACUCCGGGUGCUUGACCCAGUGACGGGUGCCGAUCUCGCGUUACCUGAUGUCGACCACGAUAAACAGCACUGCUAUAGUGCAUUGUUUAUGAUCGGUAAAGUGUCGAGCGGAGACUACAAGGUGUUGUGCCUUAGUAUGUGUACGUCCGUGUCCAAUGGACAGCAGCUCUGCAAGGUUCUCAACCUCUCGGGCGACCGUCGGUGGAGAGACACGGCGUGCCCGCCGGCCAUGGUCAGGAUGGGCCGCCUGGACGGGGCAGCCGUCAAUGGGGUCGCUUACCUCUUGCUGACCACCAUACACCGCCGUCGUCUGCAGGGUUCCAACGGAUGUAUCGUGGCAUACGACCUGGAGAAGGAGGCAUGGCGGCCAGCUUCUCUGCCAAUCCCGGUACCCAGCAACAAACAACGGCCAAGAGACAUGUUCCACCACGUCUUGGCCGAGCUGAGCGGCUGCUUGGCCCUACUAUACGACGACGGACACUCGUUUAUGGAGUUGUGGUUUCUCGUGGACCCUGACAAGGUUACCUGGUCUAAGCAGUGCACCAUCACGCGCACCGUGCCGUAUCCUUAUCAGGGUGCCGGAUAUCGGGGGGAGCCCUUGUGGUUGCUAGAUGAUGGGAGGCUCAUCAUUUGGAUUUGGAGGUCUCCAGAAUUUUCCAACGUAUUGUGUAUGUAUGAUCCAAGAACCAUGACCUAUACGGAUGUGACAGAGAUGCCAAACAGCACGCCAGGAGGAGUGUACACUGGGAGCUUGUUGGGUGGAGGGAGUUUUCACCUUCUCCACCAAGGAGGUUUAGUACAAGUACAAUGA
Molecule: ribosomal RNA, 876 nt
Filed under: Triticum aestivum (bread wheat)
Lineage: Eukaryota; Viridiplantae; Streptophyta; Magnoliopsida; Poales; Poaceae
Description: partial small subunit ribosomal RNA
Source: RNAcentral